GGGCAGGCGGGUGCGCCGAGGGCCGGUGCCCCGCAGCAGGUGGGCGGGGUGCGGUUGACGGCGGCGGCUGGGCCGGGGGCUGCCGGCUGCGCUCGGGCCGUGCGCGGCGGCGGUGCGGGCGCGCCAUGGACUUCAACAUGAAGAAGCUGGCGUCGGACGCGGGCAUCUUCUUCACCCGGGCCGUGCAGUUCACGGAGGAGAAAUUUGGCCAGGCUGAGAAGACUGAGCUUGAUGCCCACUUUGAAAACCUUCUGGCCCGGGCAGACAGCACCAAGAACUGGACAGAGAAGAUCUUGAGGCAGACAGAGGUGCUGCUGCAGCCCAACCCCAGUGCCCGAGUGGAGGAGUUCCUGUAUGAGAAGCUGGACAGGAAGGUCCCCUCAAGGGUCACCAACGGGGAGCUGCUGGCUCAGUACAUGGCAGACGCGGCCAGUGAGCUGGGGCCGACCACCCCCUAUGGGAAGACACUGAUCAAGGUGGCAGAAGCUGAAAAGCAACUGGGAGCCGCAGAGAGGGAUUUUAUCCACACGGCCUCCAUCAGCUUCCUCACACCCUUGCGCAACUUCCUGGAGGGGGACUGGAAGACCAUCUCGAAGGAGAGGCGGCUCCUCCAAAACCGGCGUCUGGACUUGGAUGCCUGCAAAGCGAGGCUGAAGAAGGCCAAGGCUGCAGAAGCCAAAGCCACGACGGUGCCUGACUUUCAGGAGACUAGACCUCGUAAUUACAUUCUCUCGGCCAGCGCCUCCGCGCUUUGGAAUGAUGAAGUGGACAAGGCUGAGCAGGAGCUCCGCGUGGCCCAGACAGAGUUUGACCGGCAAGCAGAAGUGACCCGUCUCUUGCUGGAGGGAAUCAGUAGCACUCACGUGAACCACCUGCGCUGCCUCCACGAGUUCGUCAAGUCUCAGACAACCUACUACGCACAGUGCUACCGCCACAUGCUGGACUUGCAGAAGCAGCUGGGCAGGUGCGGGGCCAGCACUGCUGAGCCCACUGGGGCCC
Molecule: small RNA, 999 nt
Filed under: Pongo abelii (Sumatran orangutan)
Lineage: Eukaryota; Metazoa; Chordata; Mammalia; Primates; Hominidae
Description: retained intron
Source: RNAcentral